GUAUGUUCUUAAUGUCGUCGUUCAACCACGACUCGAUGAAACAUAAGAUAUUACAGUUUUUAAUGUCCCGUUGGUAGGAUAUUUAAGAAUAUUUUGAAGAUAAAUACACAACGCAGAGUUUGAGAGGACUAAAAACUAGAGUACUAAUGGUCAAUAGCGAAUUGUAAAUAGGAGUUGGGUGUCAGUUCAACAUCUGUUCAGAAUCUGUGGAAUGUCACUCCUGAACUCAGAGCAACGUGUGCUACGUGGGUCACGUUUCCAUUGGUCUGUACAUUGAGUCUGGAGUGGGAUACUUGUUAUCUGGCCACUGGCCAAGUUGUCCUACAAGGACUUCUGAUUGGUCAACCCCAGGCUAGGGUGGGGGGUUAUAAAUGGCAUCCUGUUCCUUUGUUCGGUGGGGAAAAUCUGAGGACAGGGGAGACUGAACAUCUGAACAUCUACCUCCCAGCAUAACAUCUUGAUUUGUCCUCUCUGAAUAAACCAAUUUUUCUCCCCCUGAUUUGCUUUGGAGUUUGUGUUAUUGAAGAAUAACAUAAAUUGCUAACACUUGGUUCCGUGACCCGGAUGAAUUGGUCUGAACAACAACAACAAGAAAGACUUAUCAACUGUGUGUUGAUCCAGAGGAAAGAAGGCUGUGCACAACACACUUUGGCGAUUCAACUCUUAAUAUCCUGAUUGAUGGCAGAAUUGCUGGGUUAUGUGAAUCUAUCGUCUGAGGCUGCAGCGAUAUCCCUUGAAGGUACCUGAAACAAUACAAGAUCACCGGUGAAGUGCAGCCAAUGGAACGGAAGGAGAAUUCCUCACUACCUGCAGACUGUCAGAACAUAAUAUCUAAUAGUUAUCUAUGUGGGACUGAUACCAGCGUGGAAGAGCUGGUCACUUUUAAAGGACUUUGCGAAUGAUUACCUCUUCAAUAGGACGAUUGAAUAUUAUUGUCUUGCAGACAAGUGAAAGAUGUUUGAAAUAAUGUUCCCUGUGAGUUUCCUCCUAAUACAGGAUGUGGGUGGUGUGUCCAUUUCUAACACAGAGAUGCAUCAGCAGGAUGAGGGACACUCGGGCAUCAAUACGUUUCUAGCUCUCUUUCUACAUUAUGCCACAGUAGUCCCUCAAAGUAGUUGUUGGAUUUGUACAUAUGCUCCAUUCACAUCAAGGGCAGGUAUUCCAUUAAGGGAUAUUCCUUUUAACCAGAGCGAAAUGUUGGGUAUAUGGAGAGAUGUUAAUUGGUAUAAGGAGAUUAUUGGUACUAAUUUGGGUGAGAACGUUGAGAAUCAACAUGCGAGAGUACCUAGUUCUGCAGUACCUUCCUUCAUUUGAGAUUACCAAUGACACUAAUCAGCGACCACCUUACCUAGUUAUUACACAUGCCCCUGUUGGGUGGUUAUGUUUUAAUAGGUCACUCUCUUGGAACUUGUCUCAACUGCACCAGGACGCGUUUGUCAAAAUAGGACAGAGUUAGUGUGAUCAGACUAUCUGCCUGUGACGGUACUAAGGUUGCGGAAUGUCUAAUGUCUGUUGAAAUGACUCAGUAAUUUCACUAGGAAUACUUUUGAUGCCAGUACCUUCGGUAAUAUAAUCAAUAAUGGUAUGAUAGCUCCAAAUGGGACUUAGUUUAUCUGUGGAUCAUAUGCCUAUUCCUGGUUACCAAAGUUGUGGCAAGGGUCGUGUUAGUAAGGGUCGUGUUAGUAAGGGUCGUGUUAUUUGGGAUAUGUUGUAUGUAAGACGUUCUGUGAAUUCUCCUUUUUACACCAUCAUAAACAUGUGAUUACAGAAACGGAGAGAUUCUUUGCAAUUGCGUUUCCCUCUUAUGGUAUUUCUGAAAUAGCACAGGAAGUUAUUAAUAUGGCUAACUCUUUGGAAAUCCUAGCUAAUAGUACAGUUGAGAGUAUUGAGUUAAUUACUGCUGAGAUGGUUGCCAUUCGGACUGUGGCAAUGCAAAAUAGUUUGGCCCUUGAUUAUCUUCUGUCCGCAUAAGGAGGUACAUGUGCUGUUACUGGUGCUGAAUACUGUACUUACAUUCCUAAUAAAUCUGAGGAAAUAACUGACCUAAUCCAAAAGAUCAGGACUGAUGGCGCUAAAUAUCAUGAUUCCAAUCCAGAUGAUUUAGGCUUAGUCAUGUGGUUGUCUUCCACAUUCGGUACAUGGGGACGUUUUUUGGUGAGCAUGAUACUUCCAAUAGUGGGAGUUAUGGUUAUUUUUCUCAUCCUCAUCCAGGUUAUCAAGUGUGCUAAAAAUCCAAUGGUUACGUGAUAGGGGAUAUCAUAAGAUUCAUCAACCGUGUCCUUUUGGAGAUGGGUGUCAGUGGUGUUCACCAGAUUGUGGAGUGGGAUACUUGUUAUUUGGCCAUUGGCCAAGUUGUCCUACAAGGACUUCUGAUUGGUCAACCCCAGGCUAGGGUGGGGGGUUAUAAAUGGCAUCCUGUUCCUUUGUUCCGUGGGGAAAAUCUGAGGACAGGGGAGACUGAACAUCUGACUCCCAACAUAACAUGUUGAAUGGUCCUCUCUGAAUAAACCACAUUUUCUCCCCCUGA
Molecule: non-coding RNA, 2527 nt
Organism: Salmo salar (Atlantic salmon)
Lineage: Eukaryota; Metazoa; Chordata; Actinopteri; Salmoniformes; Salmonidae
Source: RefSeq, a predicted model, not a curated record